AACGAUUUCUUGGCCCUGAGGUUUGUUCUACCUUUUCUUCUUGCCAUAGCCUUAAAUAUUUGAUUGAAUGACUGCCCAGAACUUUCUCCAAAUUUAAUCAAGUUUGGUCUUGAUUAUUAUUAUUAAUAAAUAUUUGGUUGAUGCAAAUACCAUGUUCUCCUCCCUCUUGAGCAAUUCCAGCUGGAGUUGCUUGUGAAGCCUCUAUAACCAUGGGAACUAAUCAACUUGUGAAAAUUCCUGCAUGUUAAUAUGAAUCUCUUUAUUACAUGGCACCAUAGAAGCAUUUUUGUUCUGCAUUCAUCCCAUUUAGGUGAUUUGUGAGAUUUUCUAUUCAUUCAUUUGCAUGCCCAGAAAAGUUGUUUUUCCUUGUAAUCACUAUUGUGCUAG
RNAcentral lists this unclassified non-coding RNA (387 nucleotides) under Hevea brasiliensis (rubber tree). The record is from RNAcentral. Lineage: Eukaryota; Viridiplantae; Streptophyta; Magnoliopsida; Malpighiales; Euphorbiaceae.